Molecule: long non-coding RNA, 1886 nt
Organism: Phyllostomus discolor (pale spear-nosed bat)
Lineage: Eukaryota; Metazoa; Chordata; Mammalia; Chiroptera; Phyllostomidae
Exons: 2
Source: RefSeq, a predicted model, not a curated record
UUUGACUCUAAAAUACAGAUUUUAUAUAUUUCCUUCUGUUUAUAUUCAUACAUUUUGUGUGUUUUUUUAAUGAAUAGUUUGUGUCGCUUAUAGGAUCUUGAAUACUUUUACUAAUAAACAGCUUUUACAUAAUCACUAACAAAAUAGAAAAACGGACAACAAAUGUAAAUGACUGUUCUUCAGUCAGGCGACAAGUGGUCUAUACAUUCCCAAGAGGGGCAAAGUCCAGCUUUUCAAGAAGUGCACUGUUACUGAGAGUUACCAUUUUCUUACCUAUAUAAUUGAACGAGGUCACCUGUGUGUGCAGUUGGGUUUAGUGAAACAGUCACACAACAGAGGUGGGAAUAUAGAUUGUUGCCUUUGUGAAAAGCAGUGGAAUUGAUGUUAUCAAGAACCUUACAAAUAUACCUUUUGACCCAGAAAUUAUCUUUUAGUAUUUUGUGGACUCAGAUAUGGUUAAGGAUUUUCAUUCCAGAAUUAUUUUUGAUGGCCUGAUGGGUUUUUUUUAAAGAAGGGAAACUACCUGAACACCUACCAGUAGAAAGAUGAUUCAGUGAUUUAUGCUACAGCUACAUGAUAUUCUAGCUUCAAAUCACGUUUUCACCCAAUAUUUAAUGACAUUAAAGCAUUUUUCAGUUAUUUGAAAUUAAGGAAACAGUAAUAAUCAGGUUCUCGCUAGAUACUGUUGUUGAAGUACAUUGUUUAUAAAAUUAAGAGAGAGGAAAACUUAAGAGAAAAGAUGAAGGAAUACAUCUAAUGGUUUCUGAAAGUCUUUGAUUUCCACGUGUCUGUACGCUAACCUGGUGGAUGAUAGUCGAGUCAAAGACAGCCCCACAUUAUCAUCGCCUGCACCAGAAAUGCGGGGUUUUCACUUUUAAGUUUGUGGUUUCUGCUAGUAAGUUUUUUAACUUAUAACAUUGGGUUCUCAUUUUGUACCUUUUGGUUUAUUUGUAACUCAUUUCUGUUAUCUGAUAAAAGUUCUACUUAGACUUCUAAAAUAGUCCUUUGACUUGGACAUGUCUCUGGAGGAGGGGUGUGACUUGGUUCAUCUCAGGGUCCACCCAGAAAGAGCCAGAGGGCCAAUAUGUGGAACAAAGCAUAGCAGCCAAGGUAUUGCACACCUGUGUACUCCCUGUGACUCCUGGUCUGAGUUAAAUAGAAUCAGUGAUACCAGGUGAGAAAGGGUUUGCACCCUUCCCUGCCAAGGUAUAAUAAAUUUGGGGCAGAUAAGGGAGGUGAAUGAAAAGUGAUUGAGAAUCCAAGAGAUGAAGGUCAGUACAUUGUUUGCUUCAGAACAUUUAUUUUAUCCCUCUUAUGUAUGCCUCAUGUAUUGAAAAUGUAUAAUGUUAAAGACUAUCCUUGGUAGCCUAGGACAGUUUGGAAAAUCUGUUCCUGUGUGCCAAACGGUGUCACACUGGUUUUAUACUUGUGUGUGACCGUCAGACACAUCACUCACUCUCAGGCUGACCACUGCUGUAAAGGGCGAGGCCUUGAGAAGCACAGGCUCACUUCCAUCUUGGUUCCCAAAAUCCUUUGGUAGCAUCAAAUACUGUUUUAAGUGGAAAUUAAGAUUCCUCAAGGAGCAGGUGAUUUCUUUAAACCAUUACUCUCAUAAGACAUUUUGAAAUUUUUAAAAUUAAGAGAUCGUAUUAUUUUGUCAUUGAAGCUUUUGAUAACUAGCGCAGCAGUAUAUUUGGAUUUCGUAAUUUUGUUAUAAAAUUAAAUUUAGGAUUCGUGUUGGGACUGUAUUUUGAUUUUAAAUAUAAAUGUAAUAGUUCACUGUUUGAAAUUAGGAACUUAAGAUUUAAAAUUUGACAUUACUAAAUAAUGCUUGUUCUUUUUGCACAUAUUUAUACCUGGGAGCUUCCUGUGAGAAUACUGAUCAG